GCUCGUAGUUGGAUUUCUGGCAUGGGGUCACUGGCCCGGCAUCCUAGUGGUGCUGUGUUGUCGGCUGGCCUCUGCCAUCUUUUCGGAAAAACCAGUCUGCCCUUCACUGGGUUGGGCUGGCGAUUCCGAUCGUUUACUUUGAAAAAAUUAGAGUGUUCAAAGCAGGCUUAAUGCUGUGAAUACAUUAGCAUGGAAUAAUAAGAUAGGACUUUGGUCUUAUUUUGUUGGUUUCUAGGACUGAAGUAAUGAUUGAUAGGGAUAGUUGGGGGUGCUCGUAUUCAGGGGCCAGAGGUGAAAUUCUAUGAUUCCCUGAAGACGAACUUAUGCGAAAGCAUUCACCAAGGAUGUCUUCUUUAAUCAAGAACGAAAGUUGGGGGAUCGAAGACGAUCAGAUACCGUCGUAGUCUCAACCAUAAACGAUGCCGACUCGGGAUCGGUGGACGUUGUCUAAUGACUCCAUCGGCACCGUAUGAGAAAUCAUAAGUCUUUGGGUUCCGGGGGGAGUAUGGUCGCAAGGCUGAAACUUAAAGGAAUUGACGGAAGGGCACACCAGGAGUGGAGCCUGCGGCUUAAUUUGACUCAACACGGGAAAAC
Molecule: ribosomal RNA, 594 nt
Filed under: uncultured Cercozoa
Lineage: Eukaryota; Cercozoa
Description: SSU rRNA
Rfam family: Eukaryotic small subunit ribosomal RNA
Source: RNAcentral